CAGUAGCCACGGGAACACGUAGGGUGCAAGCGUUAAUCGGAAUUACUGGGCGUAAAGCGUGCGCAGGCGGUUAUAUAAGACAGAUGUGAAAUCCCCGGGCUCAACCUGGGAACUGCAUUUGUGACUGUAUAGCUAGAGUACGGCAGAGGGGGAUGGAAUUCCGCGUGUAGCAGUGAAAUGCGUAGAUAUGCGGAGGAACACCGAUGGCGAAGGCAAUCCCCUGGGCCUGUACUGACGCUCAUGCACGAAAGCGUGGGGAGCAAACAGGAUUAGAGACCCGGGUAGUCCCUGUCUCUUAUAC
RNAcentral lists this ribosomal RNA (301 nucleotides) under uncultured bacterium. RNAcentral describes it as "partial 16S ribosomal RNA". It matches the Rfam family "Bacterial small subunit ribosomal RNA", at positions 509 to 807 of the family's 1533-position model. The record is from RNAcentral.